GACGAACGCUGGCGGCGUGCUUAACACAUGCAAGUCGAACGGAAAGGCCCUGCUUUUGUGGGGUGCUCGAGUGGCGAACGGGUGAGUAACACGUGAGUAACCUGCCCUUGACUUUGGGAUAACUUCAGGAAACUGGGGCUAAUACCGGAUAGGAGCUCCUGCUGCAUGGUAGGGGUUGGAAAGUUUCGGCGGUUGGGGAUGGACUCGCGGCUUAUCAGCUUGUUGGUGGGGUAGUGGCUUACCAAGGCUUUGACGGGUAGCCGGCCUGAGAGGGUGACCGGCCACAUUGGGACUGAGGUACGGCCCAGACUCCUACGGUAGGCAGCAGUGGGGAAUAUUGCACAAUGGGCGGAAGCCUGAUGCAGCAACGCCGCGUGCGGGAUGACGGCCUUCGGGUUGUAAACCGCUUUCGCCUGUGACGAAGCGUGAGUGACGGUAAUGGGUAAAGAAGCACCGGCUAACUACGUG
This 468-nucleotide ribosomal RNA is filed under the name uncultured bacterium. RNAcentral's name for it is "partial 16S ribosomal RNA". It matches the Rfam family "Bacterial small subunit ribosomal RNA", at positions 28 to 507 of the family's 1533-position model. The record is from RNAcentral.